GAUGAACGCUAGCGGCAGGCUUAACACAUGCAAGUCGAGGGGCAGCGUGGAGCAGCAAUGCUCUGACGGCGACCGGCGGAAGGGUGCGUAACACGUGAGCGACUUGCCCGUCACAGGGGGAUAACCGGCGGAAACGGCGACUAAUACCCCAUACGAUGUGAUGCUGCAUGGCAUUGCAUUGAAAGACUUCAUCGGUGGCGGAUAGGCUCGCGGGACAUUAGCUAGACGGCGGGGCAACGGCCCACCGUGGCGACGAUGUCUAGGGGUUCUGAGAGGAAGGCCCCCCACACUGGGACUGAGACACGGCCCAGACUCCUACGGGAGGCAGCAGUGAGGAAUAUUGGUCAAUGGGCGGAAGCCUGAACCAGCCAUGCCGCGUGAAGGACUAAGGCCCUACGGGUCGUAAACUUCUUUAGACGCAGAGCAAUAAGGUCCACGCGUGGACCGAUGAGAGUAUGCGUAGAUAAGCAUCGGCUAAC
Molecule: ribosomal RNA, 479 nt
Filed under: uncultured bacterium
Lineage: Bacteria
Description: bacterial SSU rRNA
Rfam family: Bacterial small subunit ribosomal RNA
Source: RNAcentral